GACGAACGCUGGCGGCGUGCUUAACACGUGCAAGUCGAACGCUGAAGCUCAGCUUUUGUUGGGUGGAUGAGUGGCGAACGGGUGAGUAACACGUGAGUAACCUGCCCCCUUCUUUGGGAUAACGCCCGGAAACGGGUGCUAAUACUGGAUAUUCACUGGUCUUCGCAUGGGGGUUGGUGGAAAGGGUUUUUCUGGUGGGGGAUGGGCUCGCGGCCUAUCAGCUUGUUGGUGGGGUGAUGGCCUACCAAGGCUUUGACGGGUAGCCGGCCUGAGAGGGUGACCGGUCACAUUGGGACUGAGAUACGGCCCAGACUCCUACGGGAGGCGGCAGUGGGGAAUAUUGCACAAUGGGCGCAAGCCUGAUGCAGCGACGCCGCGUGAGGGAUGGAGGCCUUCGGGUUGUGAACCUCUUUCGCUCAUGGUCAAGCCGCAACAAUGGUUGUGGUAAGGGUAGUGGGUAAAGAAGCGCCGGCUAACUACGUG
Molecule: ribosomal RNA, 483 nt
Filed under: uncultured bacterium
Lineage: Bacteria
Description: partial 16S ribosomal RNA
Rfam family: Bacterial small subunit ribosomal RNA
Source: RNAcentral